GUGCCCAGAUCUAAGGAAUAGCCACUGGAAACGGUGAGUAAUACCUUAUACGCCCUUCGGGGAAAGAUUUAUCGGAUUUGGAUCGGCCCGCGUUAGAUUAGGUAGUUGGUGGGGUAACGGCCUACCAAGCCUACGAUCUAUAGCUGGUUUUAGAGGAUGAUCAGCAACACUGGGACUGAGACACGGCCCAGACUCCUACGGGAGGCAGCAGUGGGGAAUCUUGGACAAUGGGCGCAAGUGAUCCAGCCAUGCCGCGUGAGUGAUGAAGGCCUUAGGGUCGUAAAGCUCUUUCGCCAGGGAUGAUAAUGACAGUACCUGGUAAAGAAACCCCGGCUAACUCCGUGCCAGCAGCCGCGGUAAUACGGAGGGGGUUAGCGUUGUUCGGAAUUACUGGGCGUAAAGCGUACGUAGGCGGAUCAGAAAGUUGGGGGUGAAAUCCCGGGGCUCAACCCCGAACUGCCUCCAAAACUCCUGGUCUAGAGUUCGAGAGAGGUGAGUGGAAUUCCGAGUGUAGAGGUGAAAUUCGUAGAUAUUCGGAGGAACACCAGUGGCGAAGGGGCUCACUGGCUCGAUACUGACGCUGAGGUACGAAAGUGUGGGGAGCAAACAGGAUUAGAUACCCUGGUAGUCCACACCGUAAACGAUGUAUGCCAGUCGUCGGGUAGCAUGCUAUUCGGUGACACACCUAACGGAUUAAGCAUUCCGCCUGGGGAGUACGGUCGCAAGAUUAAAACUCAAAGGAAUUGACGGGGG
Molecule: ribosomal RNA, 753 nt
Filed under: uncultured bacterium
Lineage: Bacteria
Description: bacterial SSU rRNA
Rfam family: Bacterial small subunit ribosomal RNA
Source: RNAcentral